This is a microRNA precursor of Drosophila melanogaster (fruit fly), 79 nucleotides long. It matches the Rfam family "mir-1000 microRNA precursor family". Lineage: Eukaryota; Metazoa; Arthropoda; Insecta; Diptera; Drosophilidae. The record is from Rfam.
GCCAUUGAUAUUGUCCUGUCACAGCAGUAUUGUAACACUAUAUUAUAGUUUACUGCUGGGUCGGGGCAUUAACAUUGUU